UACGAAGGGGGCUAGCGUUGCUCGGAAUCACUGGGCGUAAAGCGCACGUAGGCGGAUUGCUAAGUCAGGGUGAAAUCCUGGAGCUCAACUCCAGAACUGCCUUUGAUACUGGCGACCUUGAGUCCGGGAGAGGUGAGUGGAACUGCGAGUGUAGAGGUGAAAUUCGUAGAUAUUCGCAAGAACACCAGUGGCGAAGGCGGCUCACUGGCCCGGUACUGACGCUGAGGUGCGAAAGCCAGGGAGCAAGCGGG
RNAcentral lists this ribosomal RNA (251 nucleotides) under uncultured bacterium. RNAcentral's name for it is "partial 16S ribosomal RNA". It matches the Rfam family "Bacterial small subunit ribosomal RNA", at positions 524 to 776 of the family's 1533-position model. The record is from RNAcentral.